This 301-nucleotide ribosomal RNA is filed under the name uncultured bacterium. RNAcentral's name for it is "partial 16S ribosomal RNA". It matches the Rfam family "Bacterial small subunit ribosomal RNA", at positions 509 to 807 of the family's 1533-position model. The record is from RNAcentral.
CAGUAGCCGCGGGAAUACGUAGGGUGCAAGCGUUGUCCGGAUUUAUUGGGCGUAAAGAGCUCGUAGGCGGUUUGUCGCGUCGAAUGUGAAAGCCCGGGGCUUAACCCCGGGUCUGCAUUCGAUACGGGCAGACUAGAGUUCGGUAGGGGAGACUGGAAUUCCUGGUGUAGCGGUGAAAUGCGCAGAUAUCAGGAGGAACACCGGUGGCGAAGGCGGGUCUCUGGGCCGAUACUGACGCUGAGGAGCGAAAGCGUGGGGAGCAAACAGGAUUAGAUACCCCGGUAGUCCCUGUCUCUUAUAC